Takifugu rubripes (torafugu) is the source of this 1498-nucleotide long non-coding RNA. NCBI's taxonomy places the organism in Eukaryota, Metazoa, Chordata, Actinopteri, Tetraodontiformes, Tetraodontidae. The record is from Ensembl.
UAGCAAUUCCCAGGAGGUGAUUAGGGAACAGAGAUAACUGAGGGGAAAAAUUAGGCCUUUCUUCUGCUCCCUCCAGAGUGAUGAAUGGAUAAGGCGUGGGCUGAUUGCUUUCUCUUGACCACUUAAGGAAGCAACUCUGCACAACUGCAGGCCCACUCUGUCAGUUUUGAACCGGUGUUACAGUGAUAAACUGCAGAGCACAAGGGGGAAACUUUAAAGCCACAUGAGAACCAGGUUUGUACUCAACUGCGAUCCAGUGGGUGCUCCCUCGCUCAUGCUGACAAACUCCAUUGCAGACGCUUGACCAGUACAACACGCACAGAGCUGACUCGGCUCAAUGGUUCCCAAUCUGGCCAGAUGGCCAAACUUCAGGUCAAGGAGGGGGUCACAGGUCAUUCACAGGGCAAAUAUAAACACACGGCAGAGGCAAUGAUACUUUUACUGCAUUUAAAGAAAGCUGGUUUAUUUUCUGCUAACCUGUUUUUACUCAUCCAUUUUAUUGAUUUUCUUAAAGGGCGGUGUAAGAAGCUUUCCUCAGUCACCACAUGCGAGACUUGGAAAUAGAGAUUUCCCUCUCUUCCUCUAAAACACACUAGGGAAGUGAUGAUCGCUAAUCUCAUGCUGCUAAACUGUUUGAAUGGAAGAGCUAAUAUAAUUUUGCUUCACCCGUGUUUCUCGUUCCUCUUUUCCUCUGCCAAAAGACACACUGUUCAGCACUUAUCUGAUGCCACAUGGAGGGGAAAAGAAAAUUGAGGUUACAUCACCGCUUAGGAACCAUAAAUGAGGUCAGUGACUUGCUGCUUUUGCUUGGCUUUUGCCAGUAACCCCAUCUUUUGUUGAACAUUGUAGAUCCAGGGCUUGCAUGGAACAAUUUGUCAUAAAAAAUACAGGUCAGAGACAUAUUAGGACUACACACUGUCAAAUAGACUGGACAAUAAUAUAAAUAUUUGAAGUCUGACAUUCACAAUCUGUAGACUUGGAGCCAAACUAAACACCCCAACUCACUGUUAAGUUGCUGCUCUAUAAAGAAUAAAUGAUAGCAUGCCAAAACAAAGCCAUCAUCACCAAAGAAAAUCUAUACUCCCAUAAAUUAAAGAGCAGAAUUAACAUAAGUAAUAGAAUGAGUUAUUUAUUUCAAUUUAUUUCUUAUGUGCACGACUUGCUUAUGUAUCCAAUUAAAAUGAGUCACAAACAUCACGAUAAAAUGCAUUUAAAUCCAUGCAGUUGAUUUAAGUACUUCACCCUGGAGCUCAGAGAGGUGUUGCUAUGAGAUGAGGAACUAUGUUCAAAAACCUGAUCACAAGAGUGUGACUUCCUUUAAGUCCAAGUUUAAAUAGAAGGCAGUGUUCUUAUAGCAGGCGACGCGUCAUGUUUCUCAAGAGCUCUUAAAGGUGAAAGGAAUGUGUGUGAAAAGCCUGGUGUUGAGUUCAGCUCGUGCUCUAGUGCUUGUGUGCAGCUUCCGUCUCAUCUAUCUUCCAACUGGAUGAUUCUAAUCUAC